This 458-nucleotide ribosomal RNA is filed under the name uncultured bacterium. RNAcentral describes it as "bacterial SSU rRNA". It matches the Rfam family "Bacterial small subunit ribosomal RNA", at positions 147 to 619 of the family's 1533-position model. The record is from RNAcentral.
CACUCCGAAAGGAGUGCUAAUACCGCAUAAUGCAGUUGGGUCGCAUGGCUCUGACUGCCAAAGAUUUAUCGCUCUGAGAUGGCCUCGCGUCUGAUUAGCUAGUAGGCGGGGUAACGGCCCACCUAGGCGACGAUCAGUAGCCGGACUGAGAGGUUGACCGGCCACAUUGGGACUGAGACACGGCCCAGACUCCUACGGGAGGCAGCAGUGGGGAAUAUUGGGCAAUGGGCGCAAGCCUGACCCAGCAACGCCGCGUGAAGGAAGAAGGCUUUCGGGUUGUAAACUUCUUUUGUCGGGGACGAAACAAAUGACGGUACCCGACGAAUAAGCCACGGCUAACUACGUGCCAGCAGCCGCGGUAAUACGUAGGUGGCAAGCGUUAUCCGGAUUUACUGGGUGUAAAGGGCGUGUAGGCGGGAUUGCAAGUCAGAUGUGAAAACUGGGGGCUCAACCUCCAG